AAGAGAGCAUGUGUGUGUCUGUGUGUGUGUGUGUGUGUGUGUGUGUGUGCGCGUGUGUAUACACACAUGAAUAUAUAGUUGUGAUUAUAAAAGUGGAAGGAUUUUAGAAAACACUAAUAAGAUUGAGUACCUUUUAAUGAUACUCAGGAGUAUCACAAAGGCAUGAGGAAGGAUCUAUUUGGAAAUACUUGCCAUAGGAAAAACACAAAUUUGUGUUUUGUAGGAUUAAAUUAAGUAUAGAACAUAAUCAUGCAAGGCCUGAAGUAUGCUCAGUUGAGAGUAAAGGCAUAUCUGAAGGAAUAGUGUGUAUUUGGGACUUUGAGGGAAACUUUCUGUAGAUUUGAAGAGAGACCUAAACACAAAGUUAAAGUACAAUGAAUGUAAUAUCAGUGUCAAUCCAUUAUAAAAUCAGGAAAUUGAAGACAAAUCUGUAUACCAUAUUCAAAAAUUUUUCUGUAUUUUUAGAUCUUAGAUGUUAGCAUUAUAUCACACAAAACCAUUGGUGCCUUGUAGAACUGUUACGUUGGCCUGCUGACCUGUGCUACCUCAGAUCUAUAAAGGAACCUGUCUGCAGUAUACCUACCUGCCUCUAUCUGAUUGAGAUUGCAGUUGAAACAAAGGUUACAGAUUAAAAUAAAUGAAGUGUCUUCGUAGGGAUGGGGGAGCAUUGGCCUUGGCAAAAGGUGAGGCCUCAAAGGUCUGUGAAGCCGUGCUGUUGCUCAACCCCAAGAUGACACCAGCUGAAGACACUCUGGUUCCUUGAGAAUCGAAUAUUAAUACAAAAAAGGAAGGUUUCACCUGGGGAGGGACGAGUUCCUUAUCGGGCCACUUCAUUUCACCUACUGAGGUGGGAAUGCUCUCCUUUCCGCCUUUAUCAGCAUGAGAUUUGCAUCGGCACAGGAUCAGACGUGAGACCACCACCACUCAAGUCACCUGAUACCCCCUCCAAUUAUUGUGUCUUCAAUAAAUAGUGGCCAGCUCCAGUCUUGGUCUUUGCCUUCUGGGGGGCACCGACCGCCCUGCGCCCCGCCACUCCCCCUGCCCCUAUACUUUGAAAUGAUGCACGGCUCUACUG
Long non-coding RNA from Fukomys damarensis (Damara mole-rat), 1075 nucleotides. RefSeq lists it as uncharacterized. The record is from RefSeq and is a predicted model, not a curated record. Lineage: Eukaryota; Metazoa; Chordata; Mammalia; Rodentia; Bathyergidae. The transcript has 3 exons.